ACUUGGAACGCCUGGCGGUCAGGCAAUCGGCUAAUCACCGAUGCAGGCGGGUUCGACUCCCGCUCCAGAAC
RNAcentral lists this transfer RNA (71 nucleotides) under Betaproteobacteria bacterium. RNAcentral's name for it is "tRNA-Ile". Lineage: Bacteria; Pseudomonadati; Pseudomonadota; Betaproteobacteria. The record is from RNAcentral.